CAUUGGUAUCGAAGGAACUAGAUUCUGUUCCGAAAUAUCACUUACUCGAACCGUCCUGACCGCGUAGCUCAGUUGGCAGAGCAUUGGGCUAGUAUUCCAAAGGUCGUAGGUUCGAUUCCCACCGUGGCCGGGCAUAUUUUUCAAGCUCGUCCGGUGUGGAUAUACACUCAGAGUAACAUCACAAACAUCAUAUUCACCUGAGUACACAACACCAACACAGAAAAAAAUCAUAUUACUAGAUUACACUGGUAUCGAAGGAACUAGAUUCUGUUCCGAAAUAUCACUUACUCGAACCGUCCUGACCGCGUAGCUCAGUUGGAAGAGCAUUGGGCUAGUAUUCCAAAGGUCGUGGGUUCGAAUCCCACCGUGGCCGGGCAUAUUUUUCAAGCUCGCCCGGUGUGGAUAUACACUCAGAGUAACAUCACAAAUAUCACAUUCACCUGAGUACACAACACCAACACAGAAAAAAAUCAUAUUACUAGAUUACAUUGGUAUCGAAGGAACUAGAUUCUGUUCCGAAAUAUCACUUACUCGAACCGUCCUGACCGCGUAGCUCAGUUGGAAGAGCAUUGGGCUGGUAUUCCAAAGGUUGUAGGUUCGAAUCCCACCGUGGCCGGGCAUAUUUUUCAAGCUCGCCCGGUGUGGAUAUACACUCAGAGUAACAUUCACAAAUAUCAUAUUCGCCUGAGUACACAACACCAACACAGAAAAAUCAUAUUACUAGAUUACAUUGGUAUCGAAGGAACUAGAUUCUGUUCCGAAAUAUCACUUACUCGAACCGUCCUGACCGCGUAGCUCAGUUGGAAGAGCAUUGGGCUGGUAUUCCAAAGGUCGUAGGUUCGAAUCCCACCGCGGCCGGGCAUAUUUUUCAAGCUCGCCCGGUGUGGAUAUGCACUCAGAGUAACAUCGCAAACAUAUUAUUCACCUGAGUACACAACACCAACACAGAAAAAAAUCAUAUUACUAGAACACAUUGGUAUUGAAGGAACUAGAUACUGUUCCGAAAUAUCACUUACUCGAACCGUCCUGACCGCGUGGCUCAGUUGGAGGAGCAUUGGGCUGGUAUUCCAGGGGUCGUAGGUUCGAGUCCCACCGUGGCCGGGCAUAUUUUUCAAGCUCGCCCGGUGUGGAUAUGCACUCAGAGUAACAUCACAAACAUAUUAUUCACCUGAGUACACUACACCAACACAGAAAAAAAAAUUCAUAUUAAUAGAAUACAUUGGUAUCGAAGGGGCUAGAUUCUGUUCCGAAAUAUCACUUACUCGAACCGUCCUGACCGCGUGGCUCAGUUGGAGGAGCAUUGGGCUGGUAUUCCAAAGGUCGUAGGUUCGAAUCCCCCCGUGGCCGGGCAUAUUUUUCAAGCUCGCCCGGUGUGGAUAUACACUCAGAGUAACACCACAAAUAUCAUAUUCACCUGAGUACACUACACCAACGCAGNNNNNNNNNNNNNNNNNNNNGGUUCGAGUCCCACCGUGGCCGGGCAUAUUUUUCAAGCUCGCCCGGUGUGGAUAUGCACUCAGAGUAACAUC
RNAcentral lists this long non-coding RNA (1529 nucleotides) under Paramuricea clavata. The stretch from base 301 to 373 matches the Rfam family "tRNA". Lineage: Eukaryota; Metazoa; Cnidaria; Anthozoa; Malacalcyonacea; Plexauridae. The record is from RNAcentral.